Molecule: small nuclear RNA, 81 nt
Organism: Cavia aperea (Brazilian guinea pig)
Lineage: Eukaryota; Metazoa; Chordata; Mammalia; Rodentia; Caviidae
Gene: U4
Rfam family: U4 spliceosomal RNA
About the family: U4 small nuclear RNA (U4 snRNA) is a component of the major U2-dependent spliceosome.
Source: Ensembl
AGCUUUGCACAGUAACAGUAUCGUAACCAAUAAGGUUUAUCCAAGGUGUGAUUAUUGCUAAUUGAAAAUACCAGCUAAAGG